GUGUCAGCAGCCGCGCGGUAAUACGGAGGGUGCAAGCGUUACUCGGAAUCACUGGGCGUAAAGCGCGCGCAGGCGGCUAGAUAAGUUGGAAGUGAAAUCCUAUGGCUCAACCAUAGAACUGCUUCCAAAACUGUUUAGCUAGAGUCUGGGAGGGGAAGAUGGAAUUAGUAGUGUAGGGGUAAAAUCCGUAGAGAUUACUAGGAAUACCAAAAGCGAAGGCGAUCUUCUGGAACAGUACUGACGCUGAGGCGCGAAAGCGUGGGGAGCAAACAGGAUUAGAUACCCUGGUAGUCCACGCCCUAAACGAUGAAUGUUAGUCGUCGGGACUCUAGUAGUUUCGGUGAUGCAGUUAACACAUUAAACAUUCCGCCUGGGGAGUACGGUCGCAAGAUUAAAACUCAAAGGAAUAGACGGGGACCCGCACAAGUGGUGGAGCAUGUGGUUUAAUUCGAAGAUACGCGAAGAACCUUACCUAGCCUUGACAUAUUUUAGAACUCCGCAGAGAUGUAGAGGUGCCUUCGGGAGCUAAUAUACAGGUGCUGCACGGCUGUCGUCAGCUCGUGUCGUGAGAUGUUGGGUUAAGUCCCGCAACGAGCGCAACCCUCGUUCUUAGUUACUAACGGUUCGGCCGAGGACUCUAAGAAGACUGCCUUCGUAAGGAGGAGGAAGGUGAGGACGACGUCAAGUCAUCAUGGCCCUUACGGCUAGGGCAACACACGUGCUACAAUGGUUAGGACAAUGAGACGCAAUACCGCGAGGUGGAGCAAAUCUAUAAACCUAAUCUCAGUUCGGAUUGUAGUCCGCAACUCGACUACAUGAAGCUGGAAUCACUAGUAAUCGUAGAUCAGCUAUGCUACGG
RNAcentral lists this ribosomal RNA (859 nucleotides) under uncultured Sulfurovum sp. RNAcentral describes it as "bacterial SSU rRNA". It matches the Rfam family "Bacterial small subunit ribosomal RNA", at positions 505 to 1362 of the family's 1533-position model. Lineage: Bacteria; Pseudomonadati; Campylobacterota; Epsilonproteobacteria; Campylobacterales; Sulfurovaceae. The record is from RNAcentral.